UAACACCAAAUGACCCCUAGGCUACCCUCACCCAUGUAUCAUGUUUGGUUCUUCUCGAAUCUGACCAGAAAUGGUUAAAUCCCAAAUCGAAUUUUUAAGAACCCUAAAAAUACCAAACUUUCGGAUUCUGUUCAGAUUAAGUAAUGAUUGAGGUUCAAUCGACCUUAGUCGAAGUAUUUUCAGUGGAAAAUACUUCGACUAAGGUCUGUUUGAUUUCAAACAAAAAUCCAAAUCCAAGUUGAGUUCGAGUCGGAUUAAAAUUGAAGAUUCAAAGGUAUUUUUUUCUAUUUCUGUUUGUGAUAUUCUGUAUGUAUUUUCGUUUGUUUAAUAACUUGUGGAUUUUUCAUAUUUUUGUUUUGAUUAGUUUUGUUAUAUUGUUCCCUACCCGUCUACUUGAUUUCUAAAGUGAAAUGUUUCUGUUGGUUAUGAUUGUUGACAAUGUGUGUAAUCGACUCGAUUAAGUUCGUCGAUUAGUUAUAUUACGAAUUUUCAUUUCUGAAAAUGCUGACUAAAACAGUCUGCUUCUAUUGUUUUAGACUAAUUAUUGACAAAUGUUGUAAAUAGUCAACUGAUUAAUACUCGUCAAUUAAAUCAUGUUUGUUUGUGAAUCAGUGAAUUCAAAUGUAUGCUGUAUAUGUUGUUUUCUGAACAGGGCAUUGUCAGUAUAUUGACAAUGCUCCUGUGUAUGUUUGAUCUUAGUUCAAUUAUAAGUUCAGUUUGCAUUAUUAUGCUGAACUCAGUGUAAUAUUGUCAAGUUUGAGUUCAAAUUUACAAAUAAUGAUUAGAUGUAAUUGUGAUAGAAUGUUUACAUUCUUAGGAUUCAGUCCAGAACCUAAGAGAAUUGGUUAUAGCUGUGUUAAAUCAGGUUGAUAAAUAAGUUUGAACAGAUCUUUAAAUCUGUUUUGUAAAUUCUGUUACGAUUUUGCAUUUAAGGCAGUAAUAAUAGUGAUCACAGUAGUAUUUCUGGGAUAAAAGCAGUAGGGUAAUUUGAUAAUAAUAGAGGGCUGAAAGUGGUAUGUUAAUGGCUAUUAGUUAAUGAUACUAAUGGGGAACAAAGGGUAAUGGGGCUGCUUAAAAUCAGGAUAGGAUCAUUUAAUUUAUUCAAAAGCAGUUUUAAUGGAACUUUUUGAUUUUAAAAGAAGAAGGGAGUCCAAGAAGCACUUAAAAAGAUAAAGACCAGCCCUGUAUAAAUACAGGGAGCUGGACAGCUUAAAAGGGGCAGACUUUAAGAGAUUUUUGGAGGAGAAAAAAUCUGAAAAGGCAGAUUUUGAGAGAAAAACAGAAAUCUGAGAAGAAAGAAAAAUAGUAAAGGAAACAGAAAAUAGAACACUCACACACACACUCACACACAGAUACAGCAGCAGAAACAGAAAAUCAGAAAAAAGGGGAAUUUGAAACUGAAAAGAAACUGAAAUCUGAAAUGUUGUUCUUUUGUUGAAUCUGUUCAACUUUAUGUGAUUCCACUAUUCAGUUAAAAUCUGAAGUGUCUUUUAAAAUACUGUAUUGUGCAUCUGGUUUCCUCGGGUCGUAUUAUCGCUCAAAUCUGUGGAAAUACUGCUAUUCUAUUGAAUUUGUUACUGCUGCUACUACUGAAAUUUACUCCUUAUACCUCCAUUUCCAGGUACAUAUCUUCUUAAAUUCUAUGUUGGAAAGAGAUUCGGCAUGAUAAAUCAAUGAAGUUUGAGUUGCAGUUCUAUUUUUCCAUUUAUCUAAGUUUGUUAUUAUAAAUUUCAAUUUUGUUUCAUGUUAUUUCAUAUAGAGGUAUGCUGGACAUGUUAAUUAUCAGUUGAUCAUUUUCCUUUGAAAUUCAUACAAGUAUUGUAAUAAUUUUAUCUAUUCCAGAAUUUCAUUAAGGUAUAGUUAUGGUUGAAUUGUUAAGAUAGAGAGUAUGGCAUGAGGUUGGUUAUUAAUUAAGUCUUACGACAUUGUUAGACAGGUAUAAAGUAGUCCGGGAAUAUAAAGAAAUGAGUGGUUAGUGUAUUUCGAUUGUUUGGUUGUGGAUU
RNAcentral lists this long non-coding RNA (2003 nucleotides) under Nicotiana tabacum (common tobacco). RNAcentral describes it as "long non-coding RNA (NTAB_LNC014602)". Lineage: Eukaryota; Viridiplantae; Streptophyta; Magnoliopsida; Solanales; Solanaceae. The record is from RNAcentral.